AUUGAACGCUGGCGGCAUGCCUUACACAUGCAAGUCGAACGGCAGCACGGGUGCUUGCACCUGGUGGCGAGUGGCGAAAGGGUGAGUAAUACAUCGGAACAUGUCCUGUAGUGGGGGAUAGCCCGGCGAAAGCCGGAUUAAUACCGCAUACGAUCUACGGAUGAAAGCGGGGGACCUUCGGGCCUCGCGCUAUAGGGUUGGCCGAUGGCUGAUUAGCUAGUUGGUGGGGUAAAGGCCUACCAAGGCGACGAUCAGUAGCUGGUCUGAGAGGACGACCAGCCACACUGGGACUGAGACACGGCCCAGACUCCUACGGGAGGCAGCAUUGGGGAAUUUUGGACAAUGGGCGAAAGCCUGAUCCAGCAAUGCCGCGUGUGUGAAGAAGGCCUUCGGGUUGUAAAGCACUUUUGUCCGGAAAGAAAUCCUUGGCCCUAAUACGGUCGGGGGAUGACGGUACCGGAAGAAUAAGCACCGGCUAACUACGUG
RNAcentral lists this ribosomal RNA (486 nucleotides) under uncultured bacterium. RNAcentral's name for it is "partial 16S ribosomal RNA". It matches the Rfam family "Bacterial small subunit ribosomal RNA", at positions 30 to 507 of the family's 1533-position model. The record is from RNAcentral.